This 460-nucleotide ribosomal RNA is filed under the name uncultured bacterium. RNAcentral describes it as "partial 16S ribosomal RNA". It matches the Rfam family "Bacterial small subunit ribosomal RNA", at positions 338 to 795 of the family's 1533-position model. The record is from RNAcentral.
CCUACGGGAGGCUGCAGUGAGGAAUAUUGGUCAAUGGACGAGAGUCUGAACCAGCCAAGUAGCGUGAAGGAUGACUGCCCUAUGGGUUGUAAACUUCUUUCAUAAAGGCAUAAAAUGAGGCACGUGUGCCUUUUUGCAUGUACUUUAUGAAUAAGGAUCGGCUAACUCCGUGCCAGCAGCCGCGGUAAUACGGAGGAUCCGAGCGUUAUCCGGAUUUAUUGGGUUUAAAGGGAGCGUAGAUGGGUUGUUAAGUCAGUUGUGAAAGUUUGCGGCUCAACCGUAAAAUUGCAAUUGAUACUGGCAGUCGUGAGUACAGUUGAGGUAGGCGGAAUUCGUGGUGUAGCGGUGAAAUGCUUAGAUAUCACGAAGAACCCCGAUUGCGAAGGCAGCUUACUAAACUGUGACUGACAUUGAUGCUCGAAAGUGUGGGUAUCAAACAGGAUUAGAUACCCUUGUAGUC